CAGCACCUCAAGUGGUCAGGAUGAUUAUUGGGCCUAAAGCAUCCGUAGCCGGCGCUGUAAGGUUUCGGUUAAAUCUGUACGCUCAACGUACAGGCUGCCGGGAAUACUGCAGCGCUAGGGAGUGGGAGAGGUAGACGGUACUCGGUAGGAAGGGGUAAAAUCCUUUGAUCUAUUGAUGACCAACUGUGGCGAAGGCGGUCUACCAGAACACGUCCGACGGUGAGGGAUGAAAGCUGGGGGAGCAAACCGGAUUAGAUACCCGAGUAGUCC
This 270-nucleotide ribosomal RNA is filed under the name uncultured archaeon. Its description in RNAcentral is "partial 16S ribosomal RNA". It matches the Rfam family "Archaeal small subunit ribosomal RNA", at positions 477 to 747 of the family's 1478-position model. The record is from RNAcentral.